Molecule: ribosomal RNA, 331 nt
Filed under: uncultured eukaryote
Lineage: Eukaryota
Description: partial 18S ribosomal RNA
Rfam family: Eukaryotic small subunit ribosomal RNA
Source: RNAcentral
ACCCUUAGAUGUUCUGGGCCGCACGCGCGCUACACUGAUGCAUUCAACGAGUCUAAAACCUGGUCUGAUAGGGCUGGGUAAUCUUUUGAAAGUGCAUCGUGAUUGGGAUAGAUGAUUGCAAUUCUUCAUCUUCAACGAGGAAUGCCUAGUAAACGCAAGUCAUCAGCUUGCAUUGAUUACGUCCCUGCCCUUUGUACACACCGCCCGUCGCUCCUACCGAUUGAAUGAUCCGAUGAAUAUCAUGGAUUGAGAGUACGAACAGGUUCGCUUGUUUCUGCUCCUCGAGAAGUGAAGUAAAUCUUAUCAUUUAGAGGAAGGAGAAGUCGUAACA